GAGAAAUGGAACAUAUAAUAGGAAGAGCAAAUACAUGGGGAAAACAGGAUAUUUCAUGGCAGCAUUUUGAAUAUUUGGUUGUUGACUUUUUAAUCAUCUUGCGUUUGGGAUCUUCAAAACUGCUGGACAUCCUAGUAACCUCAGAACUCCAAACUCUGAAGAAACCAGGUGACACCACAUGGAGAGAGGGCCCCAGUUGCCCCAGCUUCUAGUCAUCCCAGCUGAGGCCCCAAACAGGUUAGAGGCCCUGUGGAGUACCCUGUCUCAGGAGUCAUCUGCUGGCUCUAAUCAGAUUUGUCAACCCAGAAAUACCAGCUGAAGAACUGCCCAAUCAACCCCAAAAAUCCAGAA
This 351-nucleotide long non-coding RNA is filed under the name Dasypus novemcinctus (nine-banded armadillo). RNAcentral's name for it is "lncRNA (ENSDNOG00000052302.1)". The record is from RNAcentral. Lineage: Eukaryota; Metazoa; Chordata; Mammalia; Cingulata; Dasypodidae.